Molecule: ribosomal RNA, 789 nt
Filed under: uncultured bacterium
Lineage: Bacteria
Description: bacterial SSU rRNA
Rfam family: Bacterial small subunit ribosomal RNA
Source: RNAcentral
AGAGUUUGAUCAUGGCUCAGAUUGAACGCUGGCGGCAUGCCUUACACAUGCAAGUCGAACGGCAGCGCGGGGCAACCUGGCGGCGAGUGGCGAACGGGUGAGUAAUAUAUCGGAACGUGCCCUGGAGUGGGGGAUAACGCAGCGAAAGUUGCGCUAAUACCGCAUACGAUCUAAGGAUGAAAGCAGGGGACCGCAAGGCCUUGUGCUCCUGGAGCGGCCGAUAUCUGAUUAGCUAGUUGGUGGGGUAAAGGCCUACCAAGGCAUCGAUCAGUAGCUGGUCUGAGAGGACGACCAGCCACACUGGAACUGAGACACGGUCCAGACUCCUACGGGAGGCAGCAGUGGGGAAUUUUGGACAAUGGGCGCAAGCCUGAUCCAGCAAUGCCGCGUGAGUGAAGAAGGCCUUCGGGUUGUAAAGCUCUUUUGUCAGGGAAGAAACGGUGUGGGCUAAUAUCCCGCACUAAUGACGGUACCUGAAGAAUAAGCACCGGCUAACUACGUGCCAGCAGCCGCGGUAAUACGUAGGGUGCAAGCGUUAAUCGGAAUUACUGGGCGUAAAGCGUGCGCAGGCGGUUUUGUAAGUUUGUCGUGAAAGCCCCGGGCUCAACCUGGGAAUUGCGAUGAAGACUGCAAGGCUUGAAUCUGGCAGAGGGGGGUAGAAUUCCACGUAGCAGUGAAAUGCGUAGAGAUGUGGAGGAACACCGAUGGCGAAGGCAGUCCCCUGGGUCAAGAUUGACGCUCAUGCACGAAAGCGUGGGGAGCAAACAGGAUUAGAUACCCUAGUAGUCC